Molecule: long non-coding RNA, 5298 nt
Organism: Cercocebus atys (sooty mangabey)
Lineage: Eukaryota; Metazoa; Chordata; Mammalia; Primates; Cercopithecidae
Exons: 3
Source: RefSeq, a predicted model, not a curated record
AGUGCUGGGAUUACAAGCGUGAGCCACCAUGCCCAGCCAUCUUUUUUUAUAUUUAUUUAUUUUUUUUACAUAAGACUACCAACACCUUCAAUUUUCCUCUCAAAAUAUUAUUUCUUUAAGAUUUUCUACAUGUAUAGUCAUCACUAAAUGCUUAAGAAGUCAUGAGUUACAAGGGCAAGCAACUUGACUGUCAUGAAUUUUCUUCCAUAAAUGUUGACAUAGUAUAUACAAAAUUAGCAGUAAGUCAUUCUCUAUUACUUAUAUUAUGCUUCUUGAAUUAGUUUUCAAAAGAAAAAACAGGAGCAGACAUUUCUCAUGAGGAGUGCACACUUGAAAUGUACUUGGCAGUAGGCAAACAAGAACAUAGUAGCUGAUAUAUACGCAUUGCAUCUGUUCAUAAAUACUAGCGGCAUCAUUUAUGUGAACCUUUUACAUUUUGAAAAUUGCAAAGACUCCUGCUGUGCUGUUUCUUUUGAGAAGCCGGCUGGUAUGUGGUAUUUAAUUAAGUAUUUUAAAGCCAUCUUUUCGUAGGCCUGUUCCACUUUAGCAAAAGUUAUGACAGCUUGUCUCCGUUAGUUUAAAAAAAGAAGGCAUCGUUUAUUCUCUCUCUCUUUCUAACUCUCUCACAAAUAGACUAUUAGUAUUUUUAAGUAAAGUAAAAUAGCCUAUUUUAGAAAUAUAGAAAUGUGUUAUUUUAAUGUGCUCUCAAUGUCAAUAGACAUAUAAAAGAAUAAUUUGAUGAAAAUAAUCUUUUAGUAUUGUAAUUAUUUUAAUAAUUAUAGUGCAUUAUUGAAAUAAAAAACACAUUUCCUCUUCCUCUGCCACUUUUUGGUAUAAUGGGACAUUCACAGCUUGAAAGAAACCACCACAUAACUAGUCAUUUCAUCUGUAUCUGUUAAAUGAAUUGCAUUUCCCAGACAUCUAAGUUAUCCAGAGAACAUCUCUUUGAUCAGUAUUACAAAUUAUUUUUAUUUUCUUUCACUUGCUUAUUAAUAAUUUUCCAUGUCACAUCUGUCAUCAGAAAAGGAAAGUCACAUUCAAUAUUUCUUCUCCAUUUGUCUCUUUUCUUUUUUCCUACUCAUACUCUGCAUUGAAAACUUAGUUAAGCAAAAAGAAUUGGUUCAAAUCUUAUUUGAAUUAUGGACACAUUAUUCUCAGCAAAAUAAAUCUUGAGUUUAAAUUCCAUUAUCCUGUGUAAAUUUUCUUUAAUCUUGGCAAAACAUGCAUAUUUUAUAGAUAAGACCUAUAAUUUUUUCUCUUGACUUUUGUGUUUGCCAGGAGUUCACAGACUUUGCUAACAAUUUUAACAGAUAUGCUUUAAUUUAAUAACUACAAUUUGGUAAUUAGCUGGAGUUGCAUUUCAAAGUGGCAUUGAUAUGAUUUGGCUGGAUUAAUCUGUAUUCUAGAAAAUAUGGGACAGUCAUAUAGAUACUGGUGUUGUUACUCUGUUCAUAUUCACACUUUUACCUUGCAUUCCUGAGACACAGAAUUUUUGAUAUACUGCCACAAUCUAUUCCCAAAACAUCACUGAUGACGAAACAAUAAUAAUCUUUGGAAACAUUUCCUCUCGAGUUCCAAAGUUUUCAGUCAGUAGAAAAAAAAGAAAGAAGACGAAAUUUUAAAGGUGCUGAGAAAAACCCAGGGCUCACAGCUGGUUUCAGCAACUUCGACUUGCGUAAGACCCCAGGUUUGUGAAAACAACCCAAGAAUCUUUGAACAGGAUGUAAUCAACCUCCGAUCUGCUGAGAAAUGACUGCAAAAAUGACUUCAGCUGCCAAAAAUAAUAAUGUGGUUUACAAGCAGCUCUUCCUAUGUCUAAGGAAGAACUAGUCACACAUGCGAGUUUUUGCUGGCUUGAGGAGAACAAGCAAGGAAAAAGACAAAUCCCACCUACCCUAGCCUAAAAUACACAGUGAGUCUCAGAACCCCGCGGAAGCUGUGGCUCAUUUCUAAAGGUGCUGGCAAUAUCGAGGAAGACUUGUAUCCACAAAAUUCCAAAUGGCCCAUAUCACCUUACAUCCAAAUAGCUGCAGAAAGAGAGAGAAGAAGGAAGGAAGUAAAAAUGAAGGAAGGAGGACUGGGACUGUGUUCAGAUGCCCUCCCUAGAGCAAUUAAAUCAGAAUUUCGGAGAAAUGGUCAAGAUUAAAUGAUCAAGUCAUUAUUGUGGAUUUAGAUCUAAGUGACCUGGCAGAAACCAUGGAGAUGAUCUUGGUAAACUCACCUAAGUUUUAAAUUUCCUCACAGAGUUUAAUUUUGCCCAUGAUCUGCAAGAAAUAUUUUCUCUUUAUUUGCAAGGAUAUUGCUCAAGCUUCUAUUUAUGAGCCCCUGAACAAUAGAAUAGACAGCCCUACUGAGACUCUUUUGCCUUUGUGUGGUACAAAGGGACCUCCCUCUAGGAGAAGACAAAAAGAAUUUAAGUCUAUAACUCAUUUAAAAAAAUCAAAACAAAGCAAACAAAACAGAAAAACCCCAGCGUUCAAUUAUUUCUGCUCUCUAUUGGAACUGGAGAUCCUCCCUUUUAACUGAAUUACCAUAUUCCUGAGCUCAGGAACUGCAGCUAUUGUGAAAUUUAUAAUCUGUUUAUAGUACCCAACAUAGUAUUCUUAUUCUUAAAUAAGUUCCUAAAUAUUUGUGAAAUGAUAUUUCCCUUAAUUCAUUCAUAUUGUGCAGUUAAUGGGAUUAUUUGUCAUUGGAUAUUGACUAUAAAAAUCAGUGCUGAAAGCCUUUACUAAUUAUUUAUACUAAUGUAUCAUUUAAUGUUUAUUCUAGCUUCCUAUGCAGACAGCCUAGUUAGGUCUGAUUGUGUCCAUGGGCCUAUCUCUAUAGAACAGGCAGAGACAUUCAUGCUAAAUAAAAUACAAUGAAGAAAAGUAAUUUUUUUGCAUGUUAGUUCUUUGUUUUGCAUUUUGUUUCAUUGAGUUGUAAUGGAAAGACCUUGAAGAGAUGAGCUAAAAAAAGGUAGGCCAUUCAAAGAUAUUUUGAUUGGAACUGUUGGGCGAGUGGAGAGAAAAUGUUGGAACACCUGAGCAUUCUCUCUCAGUGGCCUAGUUGAAUCCCAGGGAAUAUUUUGUUCUGAGGGUGAUUUAAAGACACUGAUAAAUAAGGAGACAUCCUGUUAAGCUAGUUAAAGUUAGACUGAAUAAGAGAGGUUAUUUUGGUACUAAUUUGGGAUAGUUGAGUAGUGAUGGUGAGCCCGAUAAGGCAGGGUAGCUCUCAGUACUCACUCGGCCAUUGGUACCAAAGGAAAAUCAAAGGAGGCAAAAAUGCCAUGUUAUUAAACAUGUUUUAGGAGCUAAGCAGGUCUGGAGACUCAUCACAGCCACCUGAGCCCAUAAAUUAUUAAACAUGACAUCUAUGCUAUUUAUCAACACAGGAAAAAGGUACAAAUGGUUUCUUUAAAAAAUGCACAGACAUUACAUGGAGACAUAUAUUUUUCCAAACCAGUGCUUAUCUUGAGAUAGUUUAGAACUGUCAACAAACUACUUUAAUGAGGCUGCUUUUUGAGGGAAAACAAGCUCAGUAAAUCACUCUGUUUUUCUUUGUUUUUUUCAUCCCGCAUGUAAAAUUUUAACCACAUUUGACAGAGGAAGUGAAUCUCUGGGCCAAAAUACUCGACAAUUUUCUUAUCCACAGAUAGAGGUAAAUGGCAACUAUAGCUCAUCAGUGACAGCAUUAGUCAUUGUGAUUUGUUUUUAACUUGUUACAGAGUGAAAUAACACUGGUAAGUUCUGGAAGGUGUUUCAUAGUGUUCCAAAAUGUGUCAUCCCUGUGCACAUGCAUUUGUUUCAAGGAUGUAAAGAGGAAAAACUCAAAGCAAUGUGUGUUCUGAUCAAGAAAUGACUGGAAAAGGCAGCUACCUGAUAUGGAACAGUCAAGAACUGAAAGUUUAUUUGGAAUGAGAGGUGUUGUCCAACUGCGAGACUGAGUGAUUUAAGCUGAGAAUAAAUGGGAACAUAAUCAAUAGUCACUCCAGGUAGGCAGUUACUGACAGCUGUCUUGAAAGUUUCAUCUCUCUUCUCUUUUUGCGGCCAUGUUUACACUGCAUCCACAGAUUGUGAUAUUGUUUAUGAGGGACAGAAAAAGUCCUUCCAUUUAUUCUUGUUCUUAAUGAAAACUUCUGAGUUGUUAUGCUUUGAAAUUACAAUGAUAAAGUGGCUCUUUGAGAAUAAAAGAUUCAAUAUAUUACAAUUGAGAAUAAAAUAUUUAAUAUAUUACAAAGCCAGCUUGUAUGUUGGACAGGUAAGCAUGCCUCCUGGUUAAGUAUUCUUUAUUACAUGUUUCCUCUAUGGUCAGUCAUCAAUGUUUAUAUUAGUUGUUUUCUCUUUUCCAUAGUUUUGUGGUUAUGGAUUAAGUCAUUGUAUUCUUCCUGGUCUCUACCAAUGUAGUUAUUUUAUUGAUAUAGACAUUAGGAACUACUCAAUAAAUAUGUGUUGCAGGACAAACUAUAAUUGCAAUGUGUCAUAUUUGGAUAAUACUUUACAGUUUGCAAAGCACUUUAGCAUACUUUAUUUAGUUAAACCACACUGCCACACAAAUGAACUGUCCAAAAUGUAUGCUUUUUAAGCCUCCCUAUUUUAUAGUGAUACCUCAUAUGUCACACACAAAUAUCAUAACAUAGAAAGAUAGACAGACACAUAACUACAUAAGCAGUAUUCCCUAAACUCAUAUUUUGUGCUUCAUUUAGGAUUUCUUACCAGUAUAAUUUUCAUUUGGAAAACCUUUCCUCCUCUUUAUAUUACAAAAAAGACAAUCUGAUGAUUCAGAAAUAGUUUGUUUUUCUUUUUCUGUUUUGGUUCCUGUAACUAAGCAAGACACUGAUGAGGCCCAUCACAACAUGGAGUACAACUGUAAAUAAGAUGAAGUUCUUGGCUUCUGGGAGAUUAAAAUCCACUUAUUUUCUUCACCCAAUCCUCCCCAACUAGCAGUCUCAUUAGAGAAUGCCAUUUUUAAGCACUUAUAUUAGAACCUUGGGAGGCAAGCUGGAGACUGGGAAGCCUUUACACUUGUUGAAACUCGUCUAUGCUUAGAUGUAAGGCUCUUUUUCAUCUAGUUGCUUUUAUAAUACAAAAAGCGAGGCCAAUUAUUCAGAGCAUAAUCAGCGGGUCCAGGGUAUUGAAACACUCCUCUUAACAACAAUGUCAAGUUACUUUAUUUGUUCAUGAAGCACUUGAAAAAUGAGAAAGAACAGCAGGUCUUCAAGAUAGAACAGAGAAAGAGUUGGCCUCGAGUGUUUUAUUACCAAAAGAGGGUGUUAACAUGCAUAGAAAUGUUAAAUCUCUACUAAAAAAAAAAAAAAAU